Molecule: long non-coding RNA, 1815 nt
Filed under: Haliotis rufescens (red abalone)
Lineage: Eukaryota; Metazoa; Mollusca; Gastropoda; Lepetellida; Haliotidae
Description: uncharacterized LOC125384136
Source: RNAcentral
AGUAAGCAUAUCCUUCGAAACGUUGUGUUCCUCAUAAUAGAGAAGUUGACAUCCAUACAUUCUCUUCAUUUUCAGUAUCACUUCUAAAUGCCUUUCAAAGACUUGAAAUGAGAUAACAUUCGAGUUACAAUACACACAUGGACGAAAAAUCGUCGAGGGACAAAAAUACAAAGUGCUAUAGCUUGUUCUAGUUUUUAUCCUUUGAACUGAAAUCUUUCGCUGACUGAAAAUGUCCCUUCGUCACCUUAUCAUGUGACUGUGAAAAAACAAUUAAAGAAAAGGAUGUUCAGAGGAUCAUGCACGAUCUGUCAGUUCCGAAUUGUUUCUUGGGGUCUCGUGGCGCCUAUGCGAUUACCGUGGUGCCGCUGCGCCUAUCAGACAUCAGCCCCGUAUUUGAACUGAAAGUGGUUUCCGCGUCUCAUAUAUUUUUUAAACAUUUCUGUCACAAGACAUAUAUUUUGCCUAAAAUAUGGAUCAUCAAUAAGGUGAUAUGUCAGAGCUUUUGAAUGGACAUUGUGAUACAUAUUAACAAUUUGAAAGCGAAUCCUUUAAACAGUGUACCUGGAAUGCAUACUCGAAAAAAUGAGUGCUACGUCAAAAAAAAAAUACCCAUAGGACUGAAACAAUAGUACGAUUAGUACAUGUAGCAGGUUUACAUCUGAAAUAACUAGAUAUUGCUUCCGUGUUUGUUUGUUGUUUAAUAUUCAAGCUAUGUGAUGGCGAUCCUGAGUGUGUUGCUGAAGAUCAAUUCCUGUCAUAAAGACCUUGAAACAUAUACAUAUAUAUCCCAUAAGGACCACGCAAGUCUAUAUUAGUUGGCAAGUCUAGAUUACUGCAGUAUCUAAAAAUGAAGAGAGUAUCAGGGCUCCUUUUUAUUAUAUUUUUAUUAAGAUAAUAUGACAACGUUUUUUCUGUAAGAUAUGUUCAUUUCAGAGACUGAACCACUUCGAUUGCCAUACCAGUGUAAUCAAUAACUACUUUAUUAAAAUGUUGCAACUUUAUAUACAAUUUUCCCAUCGCUUAAAUUGUUAAAAAAAUGUUUUAUUAUUGUGAUAUUCUUGUAAAAUGAAGUCACAUCUCUGUCGUGAGGUAUUAAUGCUUUCCAGGACACGUAACAGAAGGCUUAGUACACGGAGUACUGCGACGUAGGCUCAUUCAUCAACUCUCCAGGACACGUAACAGAAGACUUAGUACACGGAGUACUGCGACGUAGGCUCAUUCAUCAACUCUCCAGGACACGUAAAGGAAGGCUUAGUACACGGAGUACUGCGACGUAGGCUCAUUCAUCAACUCUCCAGGACACGUAACAGAAGACUUAGUACACGGAGUACUGCGACGUAGGCUCAUUCAUCAACUCUCCAGGACACGUAAAGGAAGGCUUAGUACACGGAGUACUGCGACCCCCCAGAACGCCAGUGUUGUGCAGAAGCAGCUCGUGAAGACGGCCGAGGUCCAAGGGCCACCGCGUGCACCGACUCAAACUGUGUCAUGCACACGUGAUAGUCGGACACUAGCCUUGCUUGAAGGCUGUACUGACAGAAAAGUCCAUGGAUGUGUAGUGAUUCUUUCCUCCUAAUAGGCAAGUCUAGAUAUGUGGACAGUACAAGGACUCCAGUCUCUCAUGGGGACAACUUGUGGUUAUUAUUUUCAUAGUCUAGAAAAUAUGAUUAAAACUAAUAAUUAUUGCAUUAGAGACUUGUGGAAGGCUAGUCGCUCACACGUAAAGACAGUUUUGGGGAAAAUCUAUUACAAUGCGUAUUUGUUUACUUUGGUUUGUAUGAAGUUUGUCACACGUCACAUUAAAUGUUCUGUCUA